CAGAGCAGUGGUGGUGAGCCGCAGAUAAGCAGCACCAAGGCUGAAAGCGCUUGGCUCUUUCGGAUCUGGUACAACUUUGAUCACAAAUACUUAAAGCCAGCCUUGACACAUUCUGGUCCACCACUCACAACAACUUUACCAGCAUGGUGCGGUCCUGUUGCUAAGUUACUGACCAGCCCUCUGGCAUACCAGGACCAUCAGAAGGAAGAUGACACAGAUUACAUCAUCAGUAAUGAUGAGCUGUCGGGGUAUUAUGACGACAAAGCAGUACCUGCUUCCUCUUCGGGUGAGGAACCAGGAAAGCAGAGUCCCAGCCAAGAGCAACCAGGGACCAAGGAUAUCUUCCAUGAAGGAUAAGUUCAGCGAAACAUUGGCACUACCUCAAAAUGGAUUCCAGGUGGCUAUACAUCCGAAAUUGGGCAAAGCAUUUUUUGGCACAUUUUCUGGUAAGGGAACAAAAUGGAAGGAGAGAUUGAAAAGCUCUCAUAUCCUCAGAUCAACUCAACUACUCCAGCCCUUAAAUUCCCAUUUGUACCUUCUCCUGCUGAGCAGGCACUAAACUCUCGUACUAAAAUCCAAACCCACAACUAGAGCAGCUGGACCAAUACUUAAACGGUGAGUUCAUGAAUUCCUAACAGUAACACGCCUGAGACCAAAAGGCUAUCUCAUGACAUUUUUGGAAGAAUGUUAUUUUAAUUCUGUCCAGAGCCUUGGGAAUUUGCCUGUCCAAUCAAAUUAAUGUAACUGCACUGACCUGAUGGUUUUUUUCCUUUGAAAAGCUCUUUGAUGUCAUACUAAACUUUGCUCCUUUCUGUCUCUGAUAUAAAACAGUCCCUGCUCGGGCCUCUGCCCUCAUGCAGGAAUGAUUCUAAUGCAGACUUUACAAUCAUGCUCUGUUACUGCUGAAGAAAUACCAUUGCACUAUUGUGGAAGCUUUCAAAAGUUAAUCAAUAUAAAUGUAAUUGUCCCUUUCUGUGUUCUUAAUAAUUUUGAAGGGUGUUAGAAUCCUAAAGGUCAGUGGUACCUUUUUACAUUGUUACAUCACAUUCCACUGUUCUAAUGGUGUAACGGGUUGAAUUUCAGUCAUGUUCUCCGUAGUCUCUGGUUCAAUAACUUGAUAAUGUUGACUAAGACAAACCACCUAUAAAUGGAAAAAAACUAUGGAACUCAACUAUCUCGGUGUCUUAGUAAAUAAACGCAUUAUUUGAAGUCUUCUGGAAACCUGUGCUUUGCAUUAUGCUGUGGUAUGAAGCCAUACAAGGCCAAAAGUUCCCAAGAGUGAUCCUAGACAGGAGUCAACAUCCAACAACUAACUUGGCAACCACUUGGCUGGGAAGAAGCAUGGAACUAUCUAAUGUGGAAUUGUUACGCAGCAGCCUCUGCUGACUUUCAGAGUGUUAGAUAAAGAAAGGAUUGAGGCUGUAACAAUGUGACAAAUAGCCCGACAAUACCCAUUCCCAUUGCUCACACACGAAGAUCAGAUAGUGGAGGCUCUCAGUGCUUGCAAAACUACCAAAGUAGGAAGUUGAUUUGGGAGUCCAUUGCUUCCAAAGCUCCAGCCAGAAAGGUGUGAAGGUGCCGGUGAUGGACUGGGGUGGACAAGGUCAGAAGUCACAUGACCCCAGGUUAUGGUCCAACAGUCACCUGAUGAAGGAGCAGUGCUCUGAAAGCUUGUGAUUUCAAAUAAAUCUGUUGGACUAUAACCUGGUGUCGACUGACUUCUGAUCUUGUUCAGCCAGAAAGGAAGGAGAAUUAAGAACAGAGGUAGGAAUCUGACUUUCUGAUCACUGGGUUUCAGUAACGGUCUCCAAACACAUUUGAUGCUGGACAAUUAACAUUACAAAACUAUGAUAUAUUUUUGUCAGGAAAGGCUAAUAAGGGUUAAAGAUUCGAAACAGCUGGAUGGAGCUGAUACAGAUAAAGCCAUGAUCUAACAGUGUGGCAGAGCAGGCUAGAUAACACCUUAAGGUAGAUGCUACUUAAACAGAAUGUAAACAGUACGUUGGAUUAGGAUUUGCCUGAAAGACUUUGCUCCAUCACAGUUAACAUGCAUCGCCAGGGGGAUAAAAGAGAAGAUUAUAUUUCUGCACCUGAGUUAAACUGUAUUGUUAAAAAGUACUGUCAAUGUUUACUGGUGUGAAUUUUGCUGUGAAAUAGCUAAUUAGGUUCUCAAAAUCUUUCCGACAUACCUAAAAUUCAAAUCGAUGUAAUACUGUACGUAUUUUAUUCAGGCUAUGCUUUGCCCUCAUCAUAAUCUUAACUUCAGAGACUGUUAAUCUGUUUGAUAUUGGAAACCACUAUUUGUGAAAGAACCUUUUAUUUCUUUGGGUAUGCAAAAAUAGGCUUUAUAUAAGAUGAAAAUCUGUUUGAAGUUUUCUGGAACUUUGUAUUGCACAUUAGUAAAUUUGCUGUAACAUAGACAUUGGGUAAUUUUACAAUGGGCUCUGCAGCUCAUGUAGAUCAAUGUCAUCUCUGCAACAUUUGGGGUGGUGUCCAAGAAACAGAUGGAAGCAUCAUUUUGUCUUACAUCAGUGGAGAGACCAUAAAAAAUAGCACCUAACUUUUCUCAAUACAUGUGUUGCAGAAGUAUAAAGCAUACAGUUGUCAGCUUUGCUUUGUCAUAUACAUUGGAAACAUUCAAGUCCUUUGACAUUCAGACAAAUGAUUUUAGUUAGUUUCAGAUAGUUUAUAAGGUAUGUCAUAGUUUGAUAACAGGAGGCUCCACAAGCUAGAAAAAGGAAUGGUGAACUUUAAUUUAAGUCAAAAAUCAUGAUUUAUUUUCUUGAAGAUGUUGACAAAUAGGAAGGGCAUGCAAUAAAUCAUAAGUAACAAGGCAUUAAAAUACCAAGUCAGUAGCAGUGUCUGCAUAGUUAUGGGAGUUUUUUGUACAUUUACUCAUGGGAUACAGGUGACACUGGCUGGGGCAGCAUUUAUUGCACAUCCCUAAUUGCUUAAAGGACUAUUAAGAGUCGACCACAUUGCUGUGGGUCAUGUAGGUCAGACUGGCAGAUUUCCUUCUCUAAAGGGCGUUAGUGAACCAAAUGGGUUCUUACAACAAUCCAUGAUAGUUUUUAUGGUCACUAUUACUGAGACGAGCUUUACAUUUAAGGUUUUCAUGAUUUGAAUCACCAGUUACCAUGGUUGGAUUUGAAAAUCUGUUCCCAAAAGCAUUAGCCUAAGCCUCUGGAUUACUGGGCCAAUGGUAUUACCAUCAUAAACCUCAUAUUUUCCUAUAAGAGAUCGUGGCAAAUGGAUGACCCUCUGAUAUAUCAACAUCCUACACUAUUUUAAGUGAAAUCAAAGAAAAAUUGCUUCUUAAUUGAUAUUUCUUUGACUCUCUAGGAUUAUGCACUCUCUAGAAUCAAAGCAAUUGUUGUCUUUGUUGCUAACCUGCUACCACAAACAAACGCAAAAUCAAAAUAACCAUCAUAGGCAGUACAUAUCUACCAAAAAAAGGCCAAGAUUAAACAAAAGAGCAAGAAUUAAAGGUAGCAAACUACCCAUCUAGAAUCUUGUCUUCCUUUCCAUAAAAAACCUUGCCUGUCAUGUAUUUUCUGUACCAACAGUGUAAGAUGCCUUUGCAGUGUAACCUGUUGUAAUAUGGUGCACUUUCACAAUGGAAAUAAAAUUAAAACAGUUUCAACUUAA
Molecule: long non-coding RNA, 3648 nt
Organism: Rhincodon typus (whale shark)
Lineage: Eukaryota; Metazoa; Chordata; Chondrichthyes; Orectolobiformes; Rhincodontidae
Exons: 3
Source: RefSeq, a predicted model, not a curated record